This is a non-coding RNA of Carassius carassius (crucian carp), 551 nucleotides long. The record is from the annotation of a RefSeq genome assembly. Lineage: Eukaryota; Metazoa; Chordata; Actinopteri; Cypriniformes; Cyprinidae.
AAUUUAUGUACGAAUAUAAGCUAUAACAUACAGUACAGUAACACAAAGAUAUUUGUUGUUGCCACAGGGUGGAGCUCUGAAGCCUGAUGUUAAACAGCAGAUCAAGCUAAAUGUGACUGACUCAAGAUUGAGUUUGACACUUCAAGCUUUCAGACUACUGAGCAGUGACCAUGUUUACUGUUGUCUUCAUUGUAGUUUCUCUGCUUAAGGAGAGUGCUGAUGCAGAUACAAUAGAAUCUCUUUUACCAGAACAGCAUGUUUCAGUUGGACAAAGUGCUGUUAUCUCUUGCAAAUACAGUGACAUUGGGCCCAGCUUUCAGUGGUACCGCCAAUAUCCAGGAUCCAGACCUGAGUACCUUAUUUUUAAUGCAGAGACUGGCGUUUCUUCUGAACCCUCUUUACGUCUCAAAGCACAGGCUAAAAAAGCGAUCACAGAAGUGGAACUGGAGAUCUCCUCUACUGAAGUCAAAGACUCUGCUGUAUAUCACUGCGCUCUGAGGCCCACAGUGACAGGAAACCCACCUGCUUCUCUACAAAAACUUAAUACAUGA